GAGGGUUUGGGGAGGGUAUUGCUGUUAGUUAUCCAUCCUUCCCCGUUACCCAAACUCUAGGUUGCGAGGGAUCCCGGCCGCUGGCCGCCGCCGCCACCGCGGGCGACCUCGCGAGGCUUCUCCCAUCACUGCGAAGGGCCAGUCCGUGAGGCCGUUGUUGAGGAGACCUGCGAGGCUGGCAUCGUCGUCCGAUCCUCAAUCGCCACCGGGCUCGAUCUAUCCAGAUCCAAAAUAGGAGUUGUGCUUCUUGUUCUAGUAGCAGUUUUGUAUGCAGUGGCUAAAUGGAAGCUCAUGGGAUGGGCUCUCAUGGGAUUGUUGGAAGCUCGGAUGGCACAGAAGAGAGGGAAAACAGCUCAAUUAACUUAUGCUCUGAAGGUGUCAACCUCAAAACCUUCAAAGCGACAGGGAACACGAUUAAUGGGCGGUUGCAACUGCGACGUGCCGAAAUCUAGGUCGAUCAUAACGUGCUCACGCACGGUGCUACGUACGUCAACCGUCCUACUGAAUGGGAGUUAAAAGAGGAUAUCCACAUAUAUCAGGUUUUGAUUUUUUAUGAAUAAAUUAUGAUGUGAUGAAACAUAUAUCAAAUGGUACCGAAAGAUUUUGAUUUUUCAUGAAUAAAUUAUGAUGUGAUAAAAGUGGGAUACCAAGAUACUGACUAACUAAUCCUCAUAUUGCUAGGCUAUUGACUGAUGUUAUUGUAGUGAAAUUUUCAUUGGAAUUAUGAAAAUAGAUUCUAAUGGUAACUUGAUCUAUCAUUUCAAAGCAUUACAUAAAUAUGUAUAACUUUAUUGAAUGAUUAAUUGUGAUUCUUUUAAAUCAUUUAGAUUAUAUACAAAGAUAAUAUGACUUGUAUUGCUUAGAUAUAUAAGGUUAUACAAAAGUAGUAUAAAAUUAGAUGAUAAGGUAAUCUUGUGAGAAGUUAUUACCAACUACUACAUUCUAGAAAUGUAAUUUUGAAGUCGGUAGACAAUGACUUUAUUUUUGCAAGGCUCAGCGGAGACUCUCCUUAAGUUAUAACCUAUUUAAACAUCAUAUUGUACUCUUUUUCCCUAUAUGAGUUUUUCCUCGCAACGAUUUCUCACAGAGCUUUUAAUAAGGCAAUAUCAAUAUAAGAAAAUAUGUCAUAUUUUCUAUUUUCGCCACAGGAUUUUUAAAGGUGGUAUUCAGGAUAUAUUGCAUAUCAUAUCUUCUGUUUUCCCUACAAGGGUUUUUAAGAAGGUAUCAAAGGACAUUUUAUUCCUCCUUAUAUUUUCCCAUUGGGCUUGGGGGAGGUUAUUCGUAUAUGAUACACAGAUCAUAUUAUUGGUCUCCAAACUUGCUUAUGAAUCUCUCCUUUCGAGGUUUUGUUAUGCGAGUUUACGAUAAGACAAUAAUCUAUACAUGUUAUAUCAUUUUCUCCUAUUUUUCCAAUGGGUUUUAAAGGAGUAUUAAUAGCAUAUUAAUAUACAGUUUGGUUUCUCCUCAAA
Long non-coding RNA from Panicum hallii, 1469 nucleotides. RefSeq lists it as uncharacterized. The record is from RefSeq and is a predicted model, not a curated record. Lineage: Eukaryota; Viridiplantae; Streptophyta; Magnoliopsida; Poales; Poaceae. The transcript has 4 exons.